RNAcentral lists this transfer RNA (83 nucleotides) under Glutinoglossum americanum. It matches the Rfam family "tRNA". From Rfam's summary of the family: Transfer RNA (tRNA) molecules are approximately 80 nucleotides in length. The record is from Rfam by way of RNAcentral. Lineage: Eukaryota; Fungi; Ascomycota; Geoglossomycetes; Geoglossales; Geoglossaceae.
GGGGGGCUGGCGCAACGGUAGCGCGUUCGACUCCAGCGAUGUGAAUCAUCGAAAGGCUAGCGGUUCAAAUCCGUUGUCCCUCA